CCUACGGGUGGCAGCAGUGAGGAAUAUUGGUCAAUGGGCGGGAGCCUGAACCAGCCAAGCCGCGUGAGGGAAGAAGGUCCAGCGUAUCGUAAACCUCUUUUGUCAGGGGACAAAGGCGGGGACUAGUCCCCGGAUGAGGGUACCUGAAGAAAAAGCAUCGGCUAACUCCGUGCCAGCAGCCGCGGUAAUACGGAGGAUGCGGGCGUUAUCCGGAUUUAUUGGGUUUAAAGGGUGCGCAGGCGGCCUGUUAAGUCAGCGUGAAAAGCCCGGGGCGCAACCCCGGCGUGCGGUUGAAACUGGCGGGCUGGAGUGGGAGAGAGGUAUGCGGAAGGCGUGGUGUAGCGGUGAAAUGCUUAGAUAUCGCGAAGAACCCCGAUUGCGAAGGUAGCGUACGGGCGCCACACUGACGCUGAGGCACGAAGGCGUGGGUAUCGAACAGGAUUAGAUACCCGAGUAGUC
Molecule: ribosomal RNA, 459 nt
Filed under: uncultured bacterium
Lineage: Bacteria
Description: partial 16S ribosomal RNA
Rfam family: Bacterial small subunit ribosomal RNA
Source: RNAcentral